Molecule: ribosomal RNA, 460 nt
Filed under: uncultured bacterium
Lineage: Bacteria
Description: partial 16S ribosomal RNA
Rfam family: Bacterial small subunit ribosomal RNA
Source: RNAcentral
CCUACGGGCGGCAGCAGUGAGGAAUAUUGGUCAAUGGACGCAAGUCUGAACCAGCCAAGUAGCGUGAAGGAUGACUGCCCUAUGGGUUGUAAACUUCUUUUAUGUGGGCAUAAAACACGGUAUGCAUACACUCUUGUAUGUACCAUAUGAAUAAGGCUCGGCUAAAUCCGUGCCAGCAGCCGCGUUAAUCCGGAGGGUCCGGGCGUUAACCGGAUUUAUUGGGUUUAAGGGGAGCGUAGGUGGAGUGUUAAGGCAGGUGUGAAAGGUUGCGGCUCAACCGUGAAAUUGCAGCUGAAACUGGCAGGCUUGAGUACAGUAGAGGUAGGCGGAAUUCGUGGUGUAGCGGUGAAAUGCUUAGAUAUCACGAAGAACUCCGAUGGCGAAGGCAGCUUACUGGACUGCAACUGACACUGAGGCUCGAAAGUGUGGGUAUCAAACAGGAUUAGAUACCCCAGUAGUC